GAUGAACGCUGGCGGCGUGCUUAACACAUGCAAGUCGAGCGAGUGAGUUCUUCGGAACGAUCUAGCGGCGGACGGGUGAGUAACACGUGGGCAACCUGCCUCAUAGAGGGGAAUAGCCUCCCGGAAGGGAGAUUAAUACCGCAUAAAAUUAUCGAGUGGCAUCAACUGAUAAUCAAAGGAGUAAUCCGCUAUGAGGUGGGCCCGGGGCGCAUUAGCUAGUUGGUGAGGUAACGGCUAACCAAGGCGACGAUGCGUAGCCGAGCUGAGAGGGUGGUCAGCCACAUUGGGACUGGGACACGGCCCAGACGACUACGGGAGGCAGCAGUGGGGAAUAUUGCACAAUGGGGGAAACCCUGAUGCAGCAACGCCGCGUGAGUGAUGAAGGUCUUCGGAUUGGAAAGCUCUGUCUUUGGGGACGAUAAUGACGGUACCCAAGGAGGAAGCCACGGCUAACUACGUGCCAGCCGCCGCAGUAA
RNAcentral lists this ribosomal RNA (476 nucleotides) under uncultured bacterium. Its description in RNAcentral is "partial 16S ribosomal RNA". It matches the Rfam family "Bacterial small subunit ribosomal RNA", at positions 28 to 523 of the family's 1533-position model. The record is from RNAcentral.